CAGCAGCCGCGGUAAUACGAAGGGGGCUAGCGUUGCUCGGAAUGACUGGGCUUAAAGCGCGUGUAGGCGGGUCGGCACGUCGGUCGCUGAAAUCCCCCGGCUCAACCGGGGAAGUGGCGCCGAUACGGCCGGCCUGGAUGGGGGUAGGGGGGCCUGGAACUUCCGGUGGAGCGGUGAAAUGCGUUGAGAUCGGAAGGAACGCCCGUGGCGAAAGCGAGGCCCUGGACCCUUUCUGACGCUGAGACGCGAAAGCCAGGGGAGCGAACGGGAUUAGAUACCCCUGUAGUCCCUGUCUCUUAUA
Molecule: ribosomal RNA, 301 nt
Filed under: uncultured bacterium
Lineage: Bacteria
Description: partial 16S ribosomal RNA
Rfam family: Bacterial small subunit ribosomal RNA
Source: RNAcentral